Molecule: ribosomal RNA, 253 nt
Filed under: uncultured bacterium
Lineage: Bacteria
Description: partial 16S ribosomal RNA
Rfam family: Bacterial small subunit ribosomal RNA
Source: RNAcentral
UACGUAGGGGGCUAGCGUUGUCCGGAAUCAUUGGGCGUAAAGAGCGUGUAGGCGGCUCGGUAAGUCCGCUGUAAAAGUCAAAGGCUCAACCUUUGAAUGUCAGUGGAUACUGCCGGGCUAGAGUCCGGAAGAGGCGAGUGGAACUCCUGGUGUAGCGGUGGAAUGCGCAGAUAUCAGGAAGAACACCAACGGCGAAGGCAGCUCGCUGGGACGGUACUGACGCUGAGACGCGAAAGCGUGGGGAGCAAACAGG